GGGGGCGCCAUGUUGGGGGGAGCCCCGCGGCGAUUUUGGGGGUUCGGGGGGUCCCGGGGAGGGGUCCCCGAAUUUGGGGGGACCCCAAAGGGUUUUAGGGGAUCCGGGGGCGCUUCCUGAGGGGGUUUUGGGGGUUCCGGAGGGGUCCCGGGGGGGUUUGGGGAGGAUGGGACGGAGCGUGAGGGAGGAACGGGCGGGAUUUGAGGGGUCCUGAGGGGGAUUUUGGGGGAUCCCUGUGGGGGAAUUUGAGUUUUGGGGUUCUUGGGGUCGAUUUAGGGACGUCCCUGAGGGGGGUUUUGGGGGAGGGGAACGCUGGGAUGGGUUUAGGGGGGAUUUUGGGGAGUUCCGUGAAAGGUUUGGGGGUCCUGGGGGGGAUUUGGGGGAAGUUGAGGCGUCCCUGGGGUGGUUUGGGGGUCCCUGAAAUGGAUUUGGGGUCUCUGGAGUGGAUUUGGGGUCUCUGGACUGGAUUUGGGGUCCCUGGACUGGUUUUGGGGAUCCCUGGACUGGUUUUGGGGUCUCUGGACUGGUUUGGGGUUCCUGGACUGGUUUUGGGGUCUCUGAACUGGUUUAGGGGAGCCCUGGACUGGUUUGGGGGUCCUUGGACUGGUUUUGGGGGUUUUGGACAGAUUUGGAGGUCCCUGGAGUGGAUUUGGGGUCUCUGGAGUGGAUUUGGGGACGCUGGGGUGGUUUGGGGAUCCCUGGACUGGAUUUGGGGAUCCCUGAACUGGUUUGGGGGUCCCUGGGCUGGUUUGGGGUCCCUGAACUGGUUUUGGGGUCUCUGGACUGGAUUUGGGGUCCCUGGACUGGUUUGGGGUCCCUGGAGUGGAUUUGGGGUCUCUGGACUGGAUUUGGGGUCUCUGGAGUGGAUUUGGGGACGCUGGAGUGGAUUUGGGGUCCCUGGACUGGAUUUGGGAUCUCUGGACUGGAUUUGGGGGUCCCUGGACUGGUUUUGGGGUCCCUGGACUGGAUUUGGGGUCUCUAGAGUGGAUUUGGGGUCUCUGGACUGGUUUGGGGUCCCUGAACUGGUUUUGGGGUUUUUGGACUGGUUUGGGGUCCUGGGGCUGGUUUUGGGGUUCCUGGACAGGUUUUAG
Molecule: long non-coding RNA, 1091 nt
Filed under: Taeniopygia guttata (zebra finch)
Lineage: Eukaryota; Metazoa; Chordata; Aves; Passeriformes; Estrildidae
Description: lncRNA (ENSTGUG00000022316.1)
Source: RNAcentral